Long non-coding RNA from Sesamum indicum (sesame), 543 nucleotides. RefSeq lists it as uncharacterized. The record is from RefSeq and is a predicted model, not a curated record. NCBI's taxonomy places the organism in Eukaryota, Viridiplantae, Streptophyta, Magnoliopsida, Lamiales, Pedaliaceae.
UGGAGAGAGUGCAAAAUCGAGAGAGUGCAGGAGAAAAGCUUCUGCUCUAAUGACGGCGCAUUCUCAGGCAGCCACCUCCGCCGUUCUCGUGCUGCGACAGCCCUCAGCCUCGAUCUUUAGCGGAUUCCCAUCUGGUGGCUGAUACAGAUGAAGUGGAAACCAAACUUGAGAGUGGAAGCCAUCAAACUAUUUGCCUUGAUUUGCGGAUUCCCAUCUGGUGGCUGAUACAGAUGAAGUGGAAUCCAAACUUGAGACUGGAAGUCAUUAGACUAUUGGCCUUGAUUUGAUGAAGUGGAAGCCAAACUUGAGACUGGAAGCCAUCAGACUAUUGACCUUGAUUUGGUUAAUGCUAGUAAAGAUGAUACAGUUGUCGACUUGCAUCCAUUCACAAUGACACACUAGCUUGCAUGUCUAUCGGGCUCAAGUAUUUCUAAGUAUGAGCCUUGCGGUUUCUUCAAGACAUCGACAGCCAUUAGCUUAAGAAUAAAUCUAGCCUAUUGUAAAUAAGAAUACCCUGUUUGUAGUACUUGGGUUUCAGUGAAA